CGCGCGCAGCGCCCGUCCCGGCUAGUGAGUGAAGUGCAGUGCGGACCUACCGACAAUAACCACAGUGACGCUAAACUACGGGGAGAAAAAACAUAAAAAUUCAGUUCCUCCUUUGUCCCCCACUGUCUGACCCCCGGGUUGUCCUCUGAACAUUGUCGAAGGCUCAAGAGACUCACUUCGAUUGAAGGAUUGAUUGAUUGAUAAACCAUAAGUGGACAUGAGUAUGUUAAGGAUUUGACAACAAACGACGCCACAUAUUUGCUUCAGUACACACAUAUCAGCAGCGAUACUGGGAAGAAAGGAAUGAGCAACAAGCACAGCCUAAUUGCUUUACAUGAUCAAAACGCCUUUUAUUUUGCCCAGUA
Molecule: long non-coding RNA, 365 nt
Organism: Spodoptera litura
Lineage: Eukaryota; Metazoa; Arthropoda; Insecta; Lepidoptera; Noctuidae
Source: RefSeq, a predicted model, not a curated record